This 91-nucleotide transfer RNA is filed under the name Candidatus Firestoneibacteriota bacterium. RNAcentral's name for it is "tRNA-Ser". It matches the Rfam family "tRNA". From Rfam's summary of the family: Transfer RNA (tRNA) molecules are approximately 80 nucleotides in length. Their secondary structure includes four short double-helical elements and three loops (D, anti-codon, and T loops). Further hydrogen bonds mediate the characteristic L-shaped molecular structure. tRNAs have two regions of fundamental functional importance: the anti-codon, which is responsible for specific mRNA codon recognition, and the 3' end, to which the tRNAs corresponding amino acid is attached (by aminoacyl-tRNA synthetases). tRNAs cope with the degeneracy of the genetic code in two manners: having more than one tRNA (with a specific anti-codon) for a particular amino acid; and 'wobble' base-pairing, i.e. permitting non-standard base-pairing at the 3rd anti-codon position. Lineage: Bacteria; Candidatus Firestoneibacteriota. The record is from RNAcentral.
GGAGAGGUGGCCGAGCUGGUUGAAGGCGGCAGACUCGAAAUCUGCUAUAUCCGUAAGGGUAUCCGGGGUUCGAAUCCCUGCCUCUCCGCCA